Molecule: non-coding RNA, 3890 nt
Organism: Zootermopsis nevadensis
Lineage: Eukaryota; Metazoa; Arthropoda; Insecta; Blattodea; Termopsidae
Source: RefSeq, a predicted model, not a curated record
AGCAUUUAUAAACAUAGUUUUCAGCUCAUAAUCAUGCAGUAAAUGUGGUCCUUCUUAACAAAAGCAGACAGAAUUAUCCAUUACUCUUUGGACAGCUCCAUAAAGUGACACAGUGAUAAUGGCCACUCUGGUUACAAGAACCUGCCACUGGAUCUACGCUGCAUUACUGCUGUUCACACCCUCACACAAUCUUAUCAAAAUGUGUCUUUAGAUUAUUCUCCCAUCUACAUAUCGGUCUCUGAAGUGAUCUUAUUCCAUCAUGGUUUUGGGUCAGAAUUUUCUUCUGAUAACAUUUUUCAAUGCCUUUUGUCCUCCCUUUAAAUGACACAUUGAAUGGCCUGGAAAUAUUUUGAUUGCUGAAAUUUUGAAAUGGCAGGUUGGCAUUUUACUAUGCCCAUGAGUUGGUUUUUGUAUUGGAACAGAAUGUGGUAAGGGCAUUAUGAGUACAUUUUGGAAAGGCACACUUUUAAGAGCAUGUGCAAUUAUUUAACAAAAUUUUACAGGAACGUAAAAACCUGAAAUGCAUGCAAUAACAUGUCAUAUCAAAUGCUCCAAUUUUAUUUCAGAUUAUAUUCAUUUUUCGUUAAUGUAUUCCUUUAUUGCUUGUGCUUAUUCUGUACAUAUGUUUUAUAUUUAUUAUUAUUAUCAUUUCUGUUGAUCUUAUAAUUUUAUUUUUAUAAAGCUGCUGUUGUGUAAAAUAAAUUUUUUUCUAAAAAUGUAAAUGAAAAUAGUUCACCUAAAUUAAAGUGGGAAACACUUUGAGUGCAGCCAUUUUGUAGCAGACAUGAAAGCUGAAGCAGGAAGAAUUUCACAAGUUCAACCAAUGAGUAGUAUGGAAGUGAUCAUGUUUGGUAUUAACAUAUAUUUUUCUAAGUACUUACUGAUUAUUAAAACUUUUCCAAAAGAAGACAGAGAUAUGUUUGAUAUUUACUAAUGUUGAUGAAUGUACUUAGAGGAAAGAAUAAGGCAUGUGUUCUGGGAAUUUUGUGUAAAGUGAGUGUAUGUUACUUGGGCACAGGGACAAAAACUCUCUCUAGCUAUAUGUUGUUUUUAACUCACUGACAAGAGUUACAUUUUUCAAAUGGAAGUGUUCCUACAGUAAUAGAUAUAUAAUUUUUCUUUUGACUGGUUUCAGGUAAUGAUCUACUAACAUAACCUAGAAUUAUAUGCUGAUAAUUCUUUAUUGUGCUUAUGUUACAUUAUCUUAUUUAAUAUUAAUUUUAAUUUUCUUAUGUGUUUAUUUUAUUAUUUCCUCCUACAAACAGUUUAAUUGACCCAUCCUACAUUAUUUCCUUGGAGACAUAUCAGAUGAUCAAACCAUAGGAUAGGCUGGUUGGUUUUGCAUAGCAUGGCAAAACAAUUACCCCUUAACUAAACAAAUUUGUUAGUAUGAUGAUGUCAUGUUACUUAUGCCAGUGUUUUACAAGAUGCUAGAUUUAUUGAAAAACAUAGUUUACUUAAACCAACCUUAUAGUAAUUUGUCAUCAUUGUGUGGUAACAUAUUCCUGUCCUUUGUGAUGCCAAAAUGAGUAUAGUGAAGUCUGCAAUACCAUUUGUUAUGUUAUCAGAGAAACUUCUUUAAACACUUUUAAAAGAAUAUAUUUGUUUAUAAACCAAUAUAGUAAUUCUGAAUGGUACAGUACAUAAUAAAACUGCUGUAAUGCAGGAUUUGUGUCUGAAGACUGUCAUAAAUGAGUCCCAGUCAACACAAAUUCUUUUCAAAAGCAGCAUUUUUGUGUUCAGAGCAAAGCUCUUUCUGCAGAACUUUAUUAGUCAUUUGCACACAUCUCUCUGACCCUCCGUCUUAGAUGGACUUUGGCACUAUAAGAUGCUAAUUCCCCAGUUUUAGGGAAACUAUUUCUGAACAUCAUACCAUUGGAGGCCAGUACUGACGUGUGACUCACACAAUAUUGUGUGCUGAGAAAAACACAAACACCAAUACGGGAUAAUUUUUAACGUUAUGUAUGGUGAUAAAUAACAUGAAACAUGCGACAUUGGCAAGUGUUUAAUCGUAUUUGAUAAGAUGUGGAAGUUGAAUUUGUUGGGAGAGCAGGAGAUGAGGGUGGACCAAAUUAGUAGCCACAAAACUAGGGUUUCUCUGAUAUAAAAAUAAUUGCUUGCUAUGUUGAAGGAUGUUACAGUAUGUUCACUGUGGUUGCUAAAAUGUAGCAGUGCGUCAAUUUUAUAUUUAUGUAUAUUUGAAUUUUUCUUAUGCAUGAUCACUAUUGAUCUGUUAUAAAGAAUGAACAGAGAAAACAAGUUUCAGAUUAUGACAAUAAAAAUGUACCCCAGGUUCUCAGUUGACAAUAACAGAUGAAAUGACACAGGUAAGAAUUUCCAAGUGUCAUCUAUAUUUGUAAAUACAUUUAGAGGAAUUUUAUUUUAAAGAAAAUGAAUAAUGUUUUUGGGAUUUAAUUCCCAAAGGACAAGAGGCAGGUACAUGAGUUUGUGAUUUCAGGUCUGGGUUAAGAUAUAUGCCCCUGUGGAAUUGAUGAGUGGAACUGCUGUAUUCAGGGUAGCAUCAGUAUGUAAGACAGAGGGAGCAUCAGUCUGGAGUCAUGCCUCCUACCUUUAUGUAAAGAUCAUUAACCUUCAUUGACAGUCUGUCAUUGUACAGGCAGACCAGCUGGCCUUGCACUGCAGUGGCAUACAGCCAAACCAUUAAAUCCUGUAGUUAGAAUUUAGCUGCCAGCUGAGGUUUCAAGCCAUGUAACCAUAUGAUAAAAGUUAAAGUGAAAACUACGUAGGAAGAAGACCGAAGGGUACAGGAAGGUCUUUCAUGGAUGCCACCAUCUUCUGAUCCACCUCCUGGGAACAAACUAACUUUGUGAGACUUCUUCUAACAUAUCUUAAUCGUUGCAAUGUUCUGAGGAGUCUGUAAGGCUGACAGUUGUCUUGAUUCUGCUUGUCACUAACUCUUGGUGACAUGUAUUUAUUGUCUGUGCACCUAGUGUUGCAUAAACUCUGUUUCAGCCUUUCACCACCAUUGCAGUUUGACAAUUCCAGUUGCAUUUGUAGUUUACAAGCAUUUGAAAGCAGGCAAUGACAUAUCAUACACCUGUCUAUGAGUGCUAUAAUUUCUUACACAAAAUUAAUUUCACUAUUAUUAUUGUUAUAGACCAGGCAUUCUCAGCCUCUCAAGAUGUGAAGCUACAGUCAGUCUUUAUUAUCAGCUUCUGUGCCGCUGGGUUAUACGUGAGGACAAUGUACUGAAACUUCAUGGCAAUUUAAAAAAUUCUACCAUUGAAAACAGUGUAACAUAUGACUCAGUAUUUUAUUUAACAGAGUCAGCCACUAAUGAGAUAUUUGACACAGAUUUUGCUUCAGUAAUCUUUCAGUAUCAGGUUUAUUUCUGUUGUGAUUUACAUGCCUCCCUCUAGGCGUUCAUCAGUAAGAUGUCGUCGUUCUUGGUUUGACGUUCUUCAUGUGUUCCUAAAUUAAUAAGUGUUUUCCAAUAAUAAUACAAUGUGGCACAAUAUUACAAUAAUAUAUAUGGGCUGCACCAAACCCACUGGCAGACCACAGGCUGAGAAUCCCUGCUAUAAACAUUGUUAUGGUGUCUGUUGGAUGUUUAUUAUUCACAGGUUUUACAUACAAAGCAUCCAGUUAAUGAAUGAACAGAAUUUAAAAUUUGAAAGAACAACUACCCUUUGUUGAGCAAUUAAAAACAGACAGGAUAAGUGAGGUGACAUGCCAAAAAUAAGAGGCUAUAAUACUGCUAUUUAAUAUGAAGUAUUUAUGGACUCUGAGUACUGAGCAAGGUUCUGCUAUCUAAGUAAUAGUAUUUGUGUAGGGUCUGCCCACAGCAGCCAGCAGCUCAAGAAUAACGUACACUCUUAAUCCUGUCAGGCCAGAUGUAGACCAGAAAUGGAAACCUUGACCAAUAGGAA